This 1073-nucleotide long non-coding RNA is filed under the name Coffea arabica (coffee). Its description in RNAcentral is "long non-coding RNA (CARA_LNC006341)". Lineage: Eukaryota; Viridiplantae; Streptophyta; Magnoliopsida; Gentianales; Rubiaceae. The record is from RNAcentral.
GAUGAAAUUGGUCAAAAUUAUAAAAUUCUGAGGAUGAAAUGUGUUCCGAUUGAAAUUUUAGGGAUAAAAUUAUCGAAUAUCCUAAACAAUGGGGAUGAAAAGUGCAUUUUGCCCUUACGAGUAAUGGCGAAGUCAGGUGGAUCUUCCAAUCAAUAACAUUUUAGCGUGUUCACCUCAGCAUUGUCAUCAAUCAAGACCCAAUUGAAAUUUCUGGUAAUUCGUUCUAUCAGACAAGUUUACAAGAAAACAAAAAAAAAACAAUGUCAUCCAAUGGUGGAAAAAGCAAUGGGUUCAGAAUCAAAGAAUUUCCUCAAUUGAAAGGGGAAUUGGCAUUCUUCCGUCAGCCAAAAACAAUAGACUUUAAUCAAGGAAAAAAUUAAUUGUACAGGGCAGUUCCAUUAACCAAAAAAAAAAGAAAAAAAGAAGCUAGUCAAUAGUCCAAAUCUCCACCAUUGCUAACCUUGUUUAAAACUCAGCCAGUAAUAGAAGAUAGUAAUACAAAAGAGGGCCGCAAAUUUACAGGAAUAAAACUUUCUUUUUACUGCAAUUUCCAAGAAAAUCUGGAUACAGAAAGGAAAAGAAGUGUUGAAGGUUAUGAUCUGACGAUCAAUGAUCAGAUAUGACAGCCGCAACAGAGGUAGAAGAAACAGAGAGUUCCGACCAAAACCACAGCCUCAAAAAAAGACACAAUCUUGAAAAGAAUCACGUCAACAAACCACAAGUGCAAAGUGAACCUCCUUUUCCACCGUAGCCCAGUUGAGAAACUUUUGGAACUCCACCUCCCUGAACCACCAGCGCCGCCACUAGCACCUCCACUACCACCACCACCACCACCACGACGUCUGCCACUGCUCUUUUUAUUCAGCCUCUUGAAGAAAAAAGGGAAACUGGGCUUUUUGAACUCCAUUUCCUUCUUCUGAAUUUUGGGAGCUUCUUUUCUUGGUUAGAACUUAGAAAUAAGGAGUUUUUGGUGUCUUCGUUUUCGGUUUGGAUUCCGGAGUCAAUUGGCUCGGAAUAUUAUAAGAAGAACAGAGGAGGGGUAGUUUGGGAAUAAUGAGGAAAUAAAAUUAAAG